UGCAAGUCGAAGGAUAAAUCAGACUUCGGUCUGAUGGAAACUGGCGCACGGGUGAGUAACGCGUGGGAACAUGCCCAAGGGUACGGAAUAACAGCUGGAAACGGCUGCUAAUACCGUAUGUCCCCUGAGGGGGAAAGAUUUAUCGCCCUUGGAUUGUCCCGCGUCCGAUUAGCUUGUUGGUGAGGUAAUGGCUCACCAAGGCGACGAUCGGUAGCUGGUCUGAGAGGAUGAUCAGCCACACUGGGACUGAGACACGGCCCAGACUCC
Molecule: ribosomal RNA, 267 nt
Filed under: unidentified marine bacterioplankton
Lineage: Bacteria
Also listed under: 1 other name
Description: partial 16S ribosomal RNA
Rfam family: Bacterial small subunit ribosomal RNA
Source: RNAcentral